GAUGAACGCUGGCGGCGUGCCUAAUACAUGCAAGUCGAGCGAACAGACGAGAGUGCUUGCACUCUCUGACGUUAGCGGCGGACGGGUGAGUAACACGUGGGUAACCUACCUAUAAGACUGGGAUAACUUCGGGAAACCGGAGCUAAUACCGGAUAAUAUUUAGCUUCGCAUGAAGCAAUAGUGAGAGACGGUUCUGCUGUCACUUAUAGAUGGACCCGCGGUGUAUUAGCUAGUUGGUGAGGUAACGGCUCACCAAGGCAACGAUACAUAGCCGACCUGAGAGGGUGAUCGGCCACACUGGGACUGAGACACGGCCCAGACUCCUACGGGAGGCAGCAGUAGGGAAUCUUCCGCAAUGGACGAAAGUCUGACGGAGCAAUGCCGCGUGAGUGAAGAAGGUUUUCGGAUCGUAAAACUCUGUUGUAAGGGAAGAACAAGUACGUUAGUAACUGAACGUACCUUGACGGUACCUUACCAGAAAGCCACGGCUAACUACGUG
RNAcentral lists this ribosomal RNA (499 nucleotides) under uncultured bacterium. Its description in RNAcentral is "partial 16S ribosomal RNA". It matches the Rfam family "Bacterial small subunit ribosomal RNA", at positions 28 to 507 of the family's 1533-position model. The record is from RNAcentral.